RNAcentral lists this long non-coding RNA (810 nucleotides) under Xyrichtys novacula (pearly razorfish). The record is from RNAcentral. Lineage: Eukaryota; Metazoa; Chordata; Actinopteri; Labriformes; Labridae.
CGUCUCCCUCCUUUUCUUUCUUCCUCUUCCUCUUAUUUCUCGCACAGCUCGACCUGGACACGCCUCCGUGUCCUCUGUCCGUCUUGCUGCUGCUGCAGCUGAACAGAUGAUUUGUUUCAGUGCUCAGAUGCGUGAUCUACUUUAAGCCGACAUACGGAUAUUAUAAUAUUCAGUUUUGUGAGCCAAAUUUAUUUUAUAUGCCAACAUCUAUGAAAGAAAGAGCCAGGCCACGGAGCGCGAUGCGUCAUUUACGCACAGAUGGUUCCGAUUUUAAUGCCAUUUUUGGAGUUUAUGUUGUGAUCUGUGCGCUCAACCCACCUUUGUUACGUGAGGUUUGAAUAUGAGCAACUUUAUGUGAGUGUCUUUAUUUGUGGAAAAGGGUGUUUGUCUUACCAGUGGGUCCAACAUUACGCACACUAAAUCCAUCUGUGCUCAUAUGAGAGAGUGUGGAGGACACUUGUUGAGGAGCUGCCCUCUGUCGCCAUCUUGUGGCAUUACUGUCUUAAGACAUCUCUUGAUCUCUUUGACUACUUCAUGAAAAUAGUAAUACGCCUCGCCUGUGGCGGAUUUAAAGGCAAGGAGAGGAGCCUAUGUGAUUGGUGAAAACAGGUCUCGGCUGUGUUAAACCGACUUCACGCCCUUUCUCCUCCCCGUUACGACUUAUGGUGCUGGGAGGAGCUGAGUUAGGGAGGGGGGAUACUUACGCUGGGCUGCGCGGCUCACCAAAAUACCAAAAUGUGCUUGGGAACGCCUUGUCAGCGCGGCGGAUCUGACUGACGCUGCACUUGCGGCACGUCUCCGGCGAGGCAC